GCCAGGUGUGGUGGUGCACGCCUGUAAUCCCAGCUACUCAGGAGGCUGAGGCAGGAGAAUUGCUUGAACCCGGGGGGCAGAGGUUGCAGUGAGCCGAGAUUGUGCCACUGCACUCCAGCCUGGGCAACAGAGUGAGACUCUGUCUCAC
RNAcentral lists this non-coding RNA (148 nucleotides) under Homo sapiens (human). The record is from Rfam by way of RNAcentral. Lineage: Eukaryota; Metazoa; Chordata; Mammalia; Primates; Hominidae.